AGGGAUGAAAGGUGUUGACGUUAUAAAUAAAAAAAAUAUAUAUUUAGACAUGAAUUUAAAAAAAACGUAAAUAAUAUAAAAAAAAUUUAUAAUAUAAUUUAAAAAAAAAAUAAAUAACUAAUUAAUCAUGUAUUUUUUUAUUUUUUAAAUAACGGAUAUGGGUUCAAUUCCCAUCAUCUCUACCA
RNAcentral lists this non-coding RNA (185 nucleotides) under Candidatus Carsonella ruddii HC isolate Thao2000. Lineage: Bacteria; Pseudomonadati; Pseudomonadota; Gammaproteobacteria; Oceanospirillales; Halomonadaceae. The record is from RNAcentral.